ACUGAUUGAUGGUGCUUGCACCUGAUUGACGAUGGAUCACCAGUGAGUGGCGGACGGGUGAGUAACACGUAGGUAACCUGCCCCGGAGCGGGGGAUAACAUUUGGAAACAGAUGCUAAUACCGCAUAACAACAAAAGCCGCAUGGCUUUUGUUUGAAAGAUGGCUUUGGCUAUCACUCUGGGAUGGACCUGCGGUGCAUUAGCUAGUUGGUAAGGUAACGGCUUACCAAGGCGAUGAUGCAUAGCCGAGUUGAGAGACUGAUCGGCCACAAUGGAACUGAGACACGGUCCAUACUCCUACGGGAGGCAGCAGUAGGGAAUCUUCCACAAUGGGCGCAAGCCUGAUGGAGCAACACCGCGUGAGUGAAGAAGGGUUUCGGCUCGUAAAGCUCUGUUGUUGGAGAAGAACGUGCGUGAGAGUAACUGUUCACGCAGUGACGGUAUCCAACCAGAAAGUCACGGCUAACUACGUGCCAGCAGCCGCGGUAAUACGUAGGUGGCAAGCGUUAUCCGGAUUUAUUGGGCGUAAAGCGAGCGCAGGCGGUUGCUUAGGUCUGAUGUGAAAGCCUUCGGCUUAACCGAAGAAGUGCAUCGGAAACCGGGCGACUUGAGUGCAGAAGAGGACAGUGGAACU
RNAcentral lists this ribosomal RNA (633 nucleotides) under Limosilactobacillus reuteri. Its description in RNAcentral is "bacterial SSU rRNA". It matches the Rfam family "Bacterial small subunit ribosomal RNA", at positions 65 to 668 of the family's 1533-position model. Lineage: Bacteria; Bacillati; Bacillota; Bacilli; Lactobacillales; Lactobacillaceae. The record is from RNAcentral.